This 460-nucleotide ribosomal RNA is filed under the name uncultured bacterium. Its description in RNAcentral is "partial 16S ribosomal RNA". It matches the Rfam family "Bacterial small subunit ribosomal RNA", at positions 338 to 795 of the family's 1533-position model. The record is from RNAcentral.
CCUACGGGAGGCUGCAGUGAGGAAUAUUGGUCAAUGGACGAGAGUCUGAACCAGCCAAGUAGCGUGAAGGAUGACUGCCCUAUGGGUUGUAAACUUCUUUUAUAUGGGAAUAAAAUGUUCCACGUGUGGGAUUUUGUAUGUACCAUAUGAAUAAGGAUCGGCUAACUCCGUGCCAGCAGCCGCGGUAAUACGGAGGAUCCGAGCGUUAUCCGGAUUUAUUGGGUUUAAAGGGUGCGUAGGUGGAUUGUUAAGUCAGUUGUGAAAGUUUGCGGCUCAACCGUAAAAUUGCAGUUGAAACUGGCAGUCUUGAGUACAGUAGAGGUGGGCGGAAUUCGUGGUGUAGCGGUGAAAUGCUUAGAUAUCACGAAGAACUCCGAUUGCGAAGGCAGUUCACUUGACUGCAACUGACACUGAGGCUCGAAAGUGUGGGUAUCAAACAGGAUUAGAUACCCUUGUAGUC